AGCUUUGCACAGUGGCAGUAUCGUAGCCAAUGAGGUUUAUCCGAGACGCGAUUAUUGCUAAUUGAAAUACUUACCCGUGAGGACCAUUAAGGUUCAAGCUCACUGGGAACCCUUGAGAAACCACGUAGAUGUG
This is a small nuclear RNA of Tupaia belangeri (northern tree shrew), 133 nucleotides long. Its record names the gene U4. It matches the Rfam family "U4 spliceosomal RNA". Rfam says of the family: U4 small nuclear RNA (U4 snRNA) is a component of the major U2-dependent spliceosome. The structure of U4 snRNA from yeast and human has been reported. U4 snRNA presents a k-turn RNA motif in the 5p-SL related to recognition of Snu13 protein. NCBI's taxonomy places the organism in Eukaryota, Metazoa, Chordata, Mammalia, Scandentia, Tupaiidae. The record is from Ensembl.